This 440-nucleotide ribosomal RNA is filed under the name uncultured bacterium. Its description in RNAcentral is "partial 16S ribosomal RNA". It matches the Rfam family "Bacterial small subunit ribosomal RNA", at positions 338 to 795 of the family's 1533-position model. The record is from RNAcentral.
GCUACGGGAGGCAGCAGUGGGGAAUAUUGCACAAUGGGGGAAACACUGAUGCAGCGACGCCGCGUGAGUGAAGAAGUAUUUCGGUAUGUAAAGCUCUAUCAGCCGGGAAGAAAAUGACGGUACCUGACUAAGAAGCCGCGUCUAUCUACGUGCCAGCUGCCGCGGUAAGACGUAGGGGGCAAGCGUUAUCCGGAUUUAAGGGGCGUAAAGGGAGCGUAGACGGAGUAACAAGUCCGAAGUGAAAACACGGAGCUUAACCCUGGGAUUGCUUUGGAAACUGUUUGGCUGGAGUGCAGGAGUGGUAAGCGGAAUUCCUAGUGUAGCGGUGAAAUGCGGAGAUAUUAGGAGGAACACCGGUGGCGAAGGCGGCUUACUGGACUGUAACUGACGUUGAGGCUCGAAAGCGUGGGGAGCAAACAGGAUUAGAUACCCCUGUAGUC